This 584-nucleotide ribosomal RNA is filed under the name uncultured Pseudomonas sp. RNAcentral's name for it is "bacterial SSU rRNA". It matches the Rfam family "Bacterial small subunit ribosomal RNA", at positions 102 to 682 of the family's 1533-position model. Lineage: Bacteria; Pseudomonadati; Pseudomonadota; Gammaproteobacteria; Pseudomonadales; Pseudomonadaceae. The record is from RNAcentral.
ACGGGUGAGUAAUGCCUAGGAAUCUGCCUGGUAGUGGGGGACAACGUUUCGAAAGGAACGCUAAUACCGCAUACGUCCUACGGGAGAAAGCAGGGGACCUUCGGGCCUUGCGCUAUCAGAUGAGCCUAGGUCGGAUUAGCUAGUUGGUGAGGUAAUGGCUCACCAAGGCGACGAUCCGUAACUGGUCUGAGAGGAUGAUCAGUCACACUGGAACUGAGACACGGUCCAGACUCCUACGGGAGGCAGCAGUGGGGAAUAUUGGACAAUGGGCGAAAGCCUGAUCCAGCCAUGCCGCGUGUGUGAAGAAGGUCUUCGGAUUGUAAAGCACUUUAAGUUGGGAGGAAGGGUUGUAGAUUAAUACUCUGCAAUUUUGACGUUACCGACAGAAUAAGCACCGGCUAACUCUGUGCCAGCAGCCGCGGUAAUACAGAGGGUGCAAGCGUUAAUCGGAAUUACUGGGCGUAAAGCGCGCGUAGGUGGUUCGUUGAGUUGGAUGUGAAAUCCCCGGGCUCAACCUGGGAACUGCAUCCAAAACUGGCGAGCUAGAGUAUGGUAGAGGGUGGUGGAAUUUCCUGUGUAGCGGU